AUACUUUCCAGACAGUCCUUGUAUGUAUGUAUGUAUGUAUGUAUAUGUGUGUGUGUGUGUGUUUAUAUAUUUAUAUAUAUAUAUAUAUAUACAUACAUACAUACAUACAAGGACUGUCCAGAAAGUAU
This is a non-coding RNA of Pelobates cultripes (western spadefoot toad), 128 nucleotides long. Lineage: Eukaryota; Metazoa; Chordata; Amphibia; Anura; Pelobatidae. The record is from the annotation of a GenBank genome assembly.